GAGGUUCCCAGGCUAGGGGUCAAAUCGGAGCUAGAGCUGCCAUCCUACACCAGAGCCACAGCCACGCUGGAUCCUUAACCUGCUGAGCAAGGAGGCCCAGGAUCGAACCUGCAUCCUCAUGGACACUAGUUGGGUUUGUUACUGAUGAGCCACAAUAGGAACUCCUCUCCUUCAUUCUGUUUUAUGGAGGGUUUAAAAAAAGGACUGUUUUCCUGGUAUGACACCCUCAUCUUGUGGAAUGCUGGGAUAUUGCUGCUAAAUUUUUCUUUUCACGGCUUCAUUGGGAUGUUACUUACAGACCAUAUAGCUUACCCACUUGGAGGAGACAAUUCAUCGAGGUUUCGUGUAUUUAUUAUAUUGCAACUAUCAACACAAUCUAAUUUUAGAACACCUUCAUCCCAAAACCAAACCUUAAGUCCAUCAGGAGUGACUCUCCACUGCUCCUUGUCCCCUGGCAACUGUACCUCCUUACAAAUGAUACAAGUACGUAAGAAGAGCUUAAGAAACACGGCUGUCACCAUCAAGAUGAUUUUUUUAAUACACAGGAGUAGAGUAAGAAAAGAAUUAAGAAAAUCAUUUGAUCCUUGCAAUUCACUUUUACUUUGGUCUCAGUUUUCAGCCUAACCAUGAAACAUUCACGUCUAACAAAUGAGAAUGUCGGAGACACUCAGAUUGUCCACGUAGGCUCUUUUAUACAAACUCGUGUUAUCAGCUAGGGUUAAAUUCAGCUGUGAGUAACAGAGGCCCAAAAUAAUGAUUUAAACAAAAUAAAAAUGUGGAGUUCCCAUCGUGGCUCAGCGGUUAACGAACUUGAGUAGCAUCCAUGAGGACACGGAUUUGAUCUGUGGCCUCGCUCAGUGGGUUGAAUAUCUGGCAUUGCCGAGAGCUAUGGUGUAGGUCACAGACACAGAUCGGAUCCUGCAUUGGUGUGGCUGUGGUGUAGGCCAGAGGCUACAGCUCUGAUUGGACCCCUAGCCUGGGAACCUCCACAUGCCCCGGGUGCACCCUAAAGGGAUAAAAAGACAACAAUACAUACAUACAUAACAAUGCAAGUCCCUUGCAUGUGACAGUCCAGAGGCCGGUGGCAGCGUGCCCAGCGUGCUGUCUCUGGUCCACAAAGUCUUCCCAGAUGCCCACAUCUUCUAAGUCACCAUCCCUACAUCCUCUGGGUAUGGCUCUUGUUCCCGUGACUCACCAUGGUGGCUAGAGCAACAGGCAUCAUGACAGUGCUCCAGGCACAGGGUAAAAGGAGGGAUACCCGUGAAAGCUGCGGGAAGGAGCACUCAGCAGUUUUCUCCAAAGGAUCCUGCCAGCUCCCAGACAACCAACCCUUUUGCUCACAUUCUAUCAGCCAGACUUCGUCACCCGGACUCCUCCGGGUGCAUGAGAAGCUGGGAAAUGCAGUCCUUAUUCCAGACAGCUUGUGCACAAGCACAAGUUGUGAGUUCUGAUAAGGCGAGAGUGAAGAGUAGCAUAACCAGCAGUCUCUGCCACACAUGCAAUAUGCUCGAAACUCGAAAUACAAUAAAUGGGUAUUUUCACAGGAGGGUGACACUGAUGUCACUAAGUGCGAAUUAUGAGGAGUUGGGUGAACUCUAGUUGCAAAGAUAAGAGAAUACUGGAAGAACUGAUGCUCAGAGGGGAAUCGCAAAAGAGAUGAAGGGCUGCUGAUAGACUCGAGGAGACCACUGUUGAGCAGCAGCUCUUUUCAUCGCCUUUGUGGACAAGGAUGUGAAAGAAAGUUCACUGAUGCUUUAAAAAGGAAUGCAAUGGGAAAGUGCGCAUAUCCUUUGGUCCAAUAAACCCAUUUCCUACAUUUUCUUCAACAGUGAAAUAAACUAUAUGCCCAUGGGCAUUCC
Molecule: long non-coding RNA, 1859 nt
Filed under: Sus scrofa (pig)
Lineage: Eukaryota; Metazoa; Chordata; Mammalia; Artiodactyla; Suidae
Description: lncRNA (ENSSSCG00015027510.1)
Source: RNAcentral